UUUUGCACUUUAUUAUCUCUUGAACUCAUUUCCUAGCCAAAGUCCAAUGGUGGCAUUUCUCCAUGCUGGUUACCAGCCCAGAACAGAGCAUAGUCUUGACACCAUCUAAGGCCCGAAUACAAUAUUUCCAUCAGACUCUAGAGCCAAUUUGGUUUCUUGCCAUUGAUGAAACCCCUUCAGGGAGGGCAUUUCCAAAAAGGCUUCCAGGAGCCUGUGGCAAUGUCUCACAUUCCUGGAGGGGUGGCCAAGCCUUAUUUUAAACGGGAUCCUCACCAGAGCCUUUGGGUAGUGGGAGGAACCGUCAGUGCGUAGGGAGGGUGGGCAUACUGAUUUUCUCCAGAGCAACAUGGAUGAGUGGAACCAACAUUCCCAUCUUUAGCAAAUCACAGAGUGAGGGCAAGUUCACAUGCUGAUUUGAAUGGAGAAGGAGUUGGGGGAACAGGACAAGAAGACUGAGGCCACACGAGGACCAGCCCUCACCAUUAAAACACGUCAGCCGUCAAGGAAGAGAAUAAGUCAUAGCUUCACACACCAUUAUGGAUGACUGUCGCAGACAAAGUGCAGUGGGAAAGGCGAGACGCAUAAGAGUAACUGGUGUGUGAUUCCAUUCGUAUAAAGUUCAAAACCAGGCAGCACAAACCCAUGGAGGUAGGAGUCAGAAUGGUGCUACGUCUUCCAGUCAAGUGGCAGGAUGUGGUUGACUGGGCACAGGGAGAGAGCAUAACGGGGCCCCUAGGGGACUGGAAAUGCCUUUAUUGUGACCCGGUUGCUGGUCACACUGAUGUGUGCAGAUAGUAACAUUCUCUUAAGGUUUAUGCACUUUAUUAUGUAUAAAUUACACCAAAAAUUAAAAAAAGAAAAAACCAAAACCCAAAGUUAUCAUCCUCACCAAAAAGCAUCACUGCCUGACCAUUUGCUGGGAGCACGGGGCAAAGUGACCGGCACACCCUGGAAGCUGAACUCUAUUAGAAGGCCAGUUGGGCUGAUCCCAUAUGCAUGAGGGCUGGGCUCAAGUUUGGGUGAAUGGGAGGUGGGGAGGGGGAGAGUUAUCAAGAGAUCUCAUUCUAGUCCUUUAUUUUUAAAUCAAUUAUAAUUUUUUUUCUCACAGUCAUCACUUUUUAAAUGACAAUAAUCUCCGCAUCAGCCAGCAUGUGGCUGCCUUCCAGUUCCAGGGUUUUCUACCUUGAUGGCAGUCAAGUUCCCCAGAGGGGCCUCACUUUCAGGAAGCACCUUGACCCUCAUUAGCAGCAGGAGGGGGCGAGAAAGCUCUGCUCAGAACCUGAGAUCCUCCCAGACUCCAGUGACGUAGCUUCUGGUUUAAUGUGGAUCUCUGAGAAAACUGGCUCCAGGAAUUUUCAGUUGGCUGCAUUCUGCUUUCCGGGAAUUGGAAAGCAUUGCAGGUGCCGUGGAAUGCUCUCGGGCCGCCCGGGCCUGAGGGCCAAGCAGGCCAAGUUAGAUAUAAAAUGUAAACAACGCACUCUAAGUUGCCGGAACAAGGCCAAGCAGCGCCCCACCAGCCAGGGAGGAGAGCUGCUUGUGACAUGACCACCUGCCGGCCCCAGAGUCCCCUUGCCACCCCUGAAGGGCUACGAAUCCCAGAAGCACAGAUCAGAAUGGGCUUUUCUUGGGCUUCCCUGCCUUCCCAGCGACCGUGCUGCGUGGACUUUCAGGAGGAAAGAAGAGCUCCAGGGCCUCCCCGACGCCAGGAGCGGGGCGGUCUUUCCCACCAGUGGGAGCAGAUUGGAACCUUCCCAGGUCCAGUAGCAGCUGCUGAGAACAGAGGGAGCAGCUGGCCUGGCAGGGGGCCACACUUAGCUUUGGCUUUCUCAGCGUUUACAUCCACCGCCCACGCAGGGGAUGCAGGUUUAAAUUGGAUGUGAAUAGGGAGUAUUUAAUUUGGACUCGUGAAUACGGAGUAUAUUUAAGUGGCCUUAACCACUUUGACUUUGCUUGCAGUCAGCUGUCACUGGGCAUCAGUCUGAAGCCUCCAUGGAUUGCUCUGCCACCUGAUCACUUUUCUUGAUACUGAAAGUGGCCUGGCAGGGAUUCCAUCUGUCAAUGUUUCUUUUUCUCUUUCUUCUGCCACCCAUUUCUUCUGACCUUCAGUCAACUCCAGAUAUUCAUGGGGAUAUUAAUUUCUUGGGCUUUGCUGCCUUUCCCAGUGGCUGCAAGGCCCAUUCUCAUCUAGAAAAGCAAAGUGAAAGGUUAAAGUGGGGUGUGAGGAAAGUUGGGGGCUUCUCAGUAGAACACCUAACCUUCCAGGGACUGCUGCUUCCCCUUUUCUGGGCUACUUUGAGUGCGUGAUAUUAACAUCACCAUGAAUAUUUGGAUUUAGCUGAGGGUGAGACACAUCUCUGGGUGUGUGUAUCUCUGUGUGUGUGUGUGUGUGUGUGUGUGUGUGUGUGUGUGAGAGAGAUGGGGUCUUGCCAUGCUGCCCUGGUUGGAGUGCAGUGGCCAUUCACAGACACCAUUAUAGCACACUGCAGCCUCAAACUCCUGUUGUCAAGCCAUCCUCCCGCCUCAGCCUCCCGAAUAGCUGGCACUAUAGGAGCAUGCCGCCUUGCCCAGCCAUCAUGGCAAUAUUUUUAAAAAGAGGCACCCUUCCUUGUGGACACUGGCUCAUUUUUCAUUUAACACAGAAUGAGGAGGGCCUUUAUGGAACUUUUCAUGAAGUGAGGAAGUCUUGAACCAUGACACAACUUGAUAGGUGCACAUCACCUGGUUUCACAUUUCCUGGUCUGAGGCUCAGAGGUUGGGCUGGGCCAGAAGAGCCGGGCAACACACGUGGAAUGGGGAAGUCACUCUGCUUAUUACAUGGAAAGGUGAGGGAGCUUCCAGAGAUGGAGAGACGGAGGCUCAGGUGAACCCUCCCCAGCCUCCAGCAGCACCCUUUGGGGUGCAGUCAUGCUGCAGAGGGGCUGGCAGUGGUGCUGCUUGUCCUCAUCCACUUGCUGAGUGCCUCCCCAUCUGGCACUUCCUGCUCGCAGACAGGGUCCUUGGGGAAUGAGUGACUCAGCUCAGCCCAGCAACACCAGUGCCUGCACCCUUCUCCCGUCAGUCCUGCCCGCAUUGAACACUCUCCUCAACCCUGCAUUCCACCUGUCCCCAGACACACGUCAUCUCUGCCAGCCACAUUUACCACCCACUUGCUGGGAGCUGUGAUAUUUUUAAGAGUCAUUGGCCUGCAUUUUAGUAGCAUGUUAUCUCUUUCUCUCCCUGCAUUUGUAUCUAUUUUCAUUAAGUGAAAGUCGAUACUAUACAAACAUUCCCUUUUCAUAUUCAUGGCUUGCCUAACUCAGAGAGAAAAAGAACCUUGCAGACCCCAUCGUGUCCAGCCUGUCCCAGAUCCCGAUGUGCAUAUAACAGAAAUGUGUGCAUUGCAAUUUGCCAAUUCCACAUGUAUGGCCUGGCUUUUCCUGCCCAGACCAAUCUAAGCCAUCAGACCAGGGAAGGCGAAACCAGCUGAUUCCCAAUGUGACGUGUGCAUACCAAGCUGUGUUACGGUUCAAGAUUUCCCCGCCCCAUGAGAAGUUCCAGAAGGCCAUUCACACUUUGUAUUAAACGAAAACUGAGCACAUACUAAAAGUACAUGCAUGUGUAUUUUACUCAUUGUAAACAAAAUACGCAUCCAUUAAUAGUAGAGUGGGCAGUCCAGGCACAUUAGCUUAUGCCUGUAAUCCCAGCACUUUGGGAGGCUUAGGCAGUAAGAUUACUUGAGCCCAGGGGUUUGAGACCUCACCUCCCUGAGCAACAUAACAAGACCUUGUCUCUACAAAAAAUGAAAAAAAAAAUUAGCCGAGUGUGGUGGGGUGCACCUGUAGACUCAGUUACUCUGGGGGCUGAGGUGGGCUUGAGCACAGGAGUUAGAAAGAGUGGCAGUGAGCUGUGAUUAUGCCACUGCACUCCAGCCUGGGCAACAGAGUGAGACCCUCUCUCUCUCUCAAAAAAAAAAAAAAAAAAGUAAAAUGGGCAUAUAAAAUGUGCUGCAGUCACACAAUGGAAUACCACUCAGCAAUGAGAGUGAAUGAAUGAGCUACAAUCAUGAGCAGCCACACGGAUGAGCCCCUCCUGCAUCACACUGAAUGAGAGCAACAGACACAACAGAGAACUUCGGUACGACUCUCUUUACAUGAAAUCCCCAAACAGGCAACACUUAACUGUGGUUUUUGGAGUCAGGAUGGUGUUACCUGGGUUGGGUAGAAAGGGACUUCUGGGGUAUUGGCCCUGCUCUGUUUUUAAAUCUAUAGGUACAGGUUACAUGGGCAGGUUCACUUGGUGGGAAUUUAUCAAACCAUACACUUGUGAUCUUUGUACUUUUCUGUAUGUAUAUUUCAAUAAAAGGUUUUCUGGAAAAAACCUGCCCCCACCCCCUCCAGCCACUAAGUUCACUCUGGAUUUGAUGCCGUUUAGAAACCUAUUUCAACCAAUUACCUGUUGUCUGAAUGAGCUAUUCUUCAACUGUUCCCAAGGACUGCUCUCUGGCACACGCACAGCCUCCGAGCACUUCCAGGCCUGUGUCUGUAUGGUUG
Molecule: long non-coding RNA, 4529 nt
Filed under: Homo sapiens (human)
Lineage: Eukaryota; Metazoa; Chordata; Mammalia; Primates; Hominidae
Description: HSALNT0198914
Source: RNAcentral